This 462-nucleotide ribosomal RNA is filed under the name uncultured Glomus. RNAcentral's name for it is "SSU rRNA". It matches the Rfam family "Eukaryotic small subunit ribosomal RNA", at positions 602 to 1069 of the family's 1831-position model. The record is from RNAcentral. Lineage: Eukaryota; Fungi; Glomeromycota; Glomeromycetes; Glomerales; Glomeraceae.
UAUUAAAGUUGUUGCAGUUAAAAAGCUCGUAGUUGAAUUUCGGGAUCAAAUUGUCGGUCGUGCCUCGGUACGUACUGGUAUUAUUGGUUCCUCCCUUCUGACGAACCACGAUGUCAUUAAUUUGGUGUCAUGGGAAAUCAGGACUGUUACUUUGAAAAAAUUAGAGUGUUUAAAGCAGGCUCGCGCUUGAAUACAUUAGCAUGGAAUAAUGAAAUAGGACGUUUGAUUCUAUUUUGUUGGUUUCUAGGAUCGACGUAAUGAUUAAUAGGGAUAGUUGGGGGCAUUAGUAUUCAAUUGUCAGAGGUGAAAUUCUUGGAUUUAUUGAAGACUAACUACUGCGAAAGCAUUUGCCAAGGAUGUUUUCAUUAAUCAAGAACGAAAGUUAGGGGAUCGAAGACGAUCAGAUACCGUCGUAGUCUUAACCAUAAACUAUGCCGACUAGGGAUCGGAUGAUGUUAAUUU